AGUGAACGCUGGCGGUAGGCCUAACACGUGCAAGUCGAACGGCAGCACAGUAAGAGCUUGCUCUUACGGGUGGCGAGUGGCGGACGGGUGAGGAAUACAUCGGAAUCUACUUUUUCGUGGGGGAUAACGUAGGGAAACUUACGCUAAUACCGCAUACGACCUACGGGUGAAAGCAGUGGAUCUUCGGACCUUGCGCGAUUGAAUGAGCCGAUGUCGGAUUAGCUAGUUGGCGGGGUAAAGGCCCACCAAGGCGACGAUCCGUAGCUGGUCUGAGAGGAUGAUCAGCCACACUGGAACUGAGACACGGUCCAGACUCCUACGGGAGGCAGCAGUGGGGAAUAUUGGACAAUGGGCGCAAGCCUGAUGCAGCCAUACCGCGUGGGUGAAGAAGGCCUUCGGGUUGUAAAGCCCUUUUGUUGGGAAAGAAAAACAGCAGGUUAAUACCCCGCUGUUCUGACGGUACCCAAAGAAUAAGCACCGGCUAACUUCGUG
Molecule: ribosomal RNA, 492 nt
Filed under: uncultured bacterium
Lineage: Bacteria
Description: partial 16S ribosomal RNA
Rfam family: Bacterial small subunit ribosomal RNA
Source: RNAcentral